Molecule: non-coding RNA, 215 nt
Organism: Oryza nivara
Lineage: Eukaryota; Viridiplantae; Streptophyta; Magnoliopsida; Poales; Poaceae
Source: Rfam
AAAAAGACAAAUCCUAAGUUUCUGUGUCCAACUUUGACUGUCUGUCUUAUAUGAAAUUAUAUGAAAUUUUUUUAUAAUUUGUAUUUUUAUUGUUGUUAGAUGAUAAAACAUAAUUAAUACUUUGAAAGUGCCUUGUCUUUUUAAUUUUUUUAUAAUUUUUUCAAAUAAGACGGAUGGUAAAACGUUGGACACGAAAAUUAGGAUUUGUCCUUUUU